UUUCUUUUUGGUCUGAGAAAUCGAUGGGGACAAUAAAUUCGGGUGGGGAUCGUUUUCGGUGGUGUAGAUGGAACGUGGUUGCUAUCAAGGAGAUCGCCAUGGAGAUCGCGAUGUCGGGGAUUUUCAUCUCGAGGAAGAUCAAUUAACCCAACAUCAUCAGCUUCAUCGACAUGAUCGAGGUUCGUCUUCUUUUGCUCUUCUUGACAUGAUUGAGGAUGUUGUUAGCUCGUAUAAAGCUCCCAUCUUUCUUGGACCAGCUUCACCACAACAGAAGCUUAUGAUGCACUUGAUCCAACUGGAAACAUCACCAUAAAAUGGGAUAUCAUUAGCUGGACUGCUGAUGGCUAUGUGGCUGUUGUAUCGAUCUUCAAUUUUCAACAAUACCGUCACAUUCAAGCCCCAGGUUGGCAACUAGGAUGGAGUUGGUAUAAAAAGGAAGUGAUAUGGAGUAUGGUUGGUGCACAAGCCUCAGAGCAAGGAGAUUGUUCUAAGUUCAAAGGCAACAUUCCUCAUUGCUGCAAGAAAACCCCCACCGUCGUUGACUUGUUACCGGGAACUCCAUACAACCAACAUAUAUUAAACUGUUGUCGAGGCGGUUUGAUUAGCUCCUGGGCACAAGACCCCGCAACAGCCGUGGGAAGAACAACCUCCAGCCGCUCUUGCAAUGUACACAGCAUAUGUGUCCCAUCAGAGUUCAUUGACAUGUGAAAACUAACUACAAAGAGUACUGGCGUGUGAAGGUCACAAUCACAAACUUCAACUACAAUAUGAAUUACUCGCAGUGGAAUUUGGUUGUUCAGCAUCCCAACUUCGACAAUAUCACUCAACUUUUCAGCUUUACACUCCCACAACGUUAGAUUCAGAUCUUGUACGCUUUGAGCUUAUCAUUAAGGUAUAUAUGCUCAAAAACACUUCUCA
Molecule: long non-coding RNA, 918 nt
Organism: Brassica napus (rape)
Lineage: Eukaryota; Viridiplantae; Streptophyta; Magnoliopsida; Brassicales; Brassicaceae
Exons: 3
Source: RefSeq, a predicted model, not a curated record